AGUCGAAUUGACCGUCGGACAAAUCUGAUACCAGAGCAGGAUGUCUGAGCUGAGCGACGAGGCCAGCAGUGAGUCGGAGCAGUUAGGCGCGGGUCUGUCCGUGUGGCUGGCGGGCGGAGGAGACGCUCUGAUCGGCCCGGAGGAGCUGAACGUGCCGCUGGGUCUUCACACCGCCUGCUCCAUCGGACAGUAUGAUGUGGUGGCCGAAUGCAUCCGCAGGAUCUUGCAGAGUUUCUGGAGCAGAUCGGGUUCGGUAAAUACCUUCCCCUGCUGGAGGAGCAAGACAUCGACCUGAGCAU
Long non-coding RNA from Sinocyclocheilus grahami, 299 nucleotides. RefSeq lists it as uncharacterized. NCBI's taxonomy places the organism in Eukaryota, Metazoa, Chordata, Actinopteri, Cypriniformes, Cyprinidae. The record is from RefSeq and is a predicted model, not a curated record. The transcript has 3 exons.